UGUCAUCUCACAUAGCCAUUUUCAUUGUGUGCAACAGAAACAGCUAAAAUAUAUCUAUUUAACAAAAACCUCCAAUACAAUUCACUUUUAUUAACUUUAUUCCUCAUAUUGUGCUUAAUCUGCAGGUCUCUCUCGUCAGAGUUUCUGUUGACUGUGCUGUCCAUGACCAGGAAAAGUCUUGUCCUGCAUUUGCUCACUUCAGGUGGAGUGCGAUGGCAUGACUCGGCUCACUGCAACCGCCACCUUCUGGGUUCAAGCGAUUCUCCUGCCUCAGCCUCCCGAGUAACUGGGACUACAGAUGCGCACCACCACACCUGCCAAAUUUUUGUUUUUUCACUAGAAAAGGGGUUUCACCAAGUUGGUCAGGCUUCGUCUCUUGACCUUGUGAUCUGCCGGCCUCGGCCUCCCAAAGUGCUAGGAUUACAGGUGUGAGCCCCCACGCCCAUCCUAUGUUCUGUAAUUUUCUAUAUUGACCUUAUUUUAAACUUAUAGGAACAAUUUCAUUGACCUGAUUUUCAUAUCCUGUUAGACUACUCAGUGAGACUCAAGGUGCUGGUGACGAUUCUUUAACUUUCUC
This 577-nucleotide long non-coding RNA is filed under the name Callithrix jacchus (white-tufted-ear marmoset). Its description in RNAcentral is "lncRNA (ENSCJAG00000054150.2)". The record is from RNAcentral. Lineage: Eukaryota; Metazoa; Chordata; Mammalia; Primates; Cebidae.